This 252-nucleotide ribosomal RNA is filed under the name uncultured bacterium. RNAcentral's name for it is "partial 16S ribosomal RNA". It matches the Rfam family "Bacterial small subunit ribosomal RNA", at positions 525 to 776 of the family's 1533-position model. The record is from RNAcentral.
ACGAAAGGUGCAAGCGUUAAUCGGAAUUACUGGGCGUAAAGCGCGCGUAGGCGGUGUGUUAAGUCGGAUGUGAAAGCCCAGGGCUCAACCUUGGAAUUGCAUCCGAUACUGGCACGCUAGAGUGCAGUAGAGGGAGGUGGAAUUUCCGGUGUAGCGGUGAAAUGCGUAGAGAUCGGAAGGAACACCAGUGGCGAAGGCGGCCUCCUGGACUGACACUGACGCUGAGGUGCGAAAGCGUGGGGAGCAAACAGG